AGAGUUUGAUCCUGGCUCAGAAUCAACGCUGGCGGCGCGCCUAACACAUGCAAGUCGAACGAGAUAGCGGGAGCAAUCUCGCAAGUAAAGUGGCGUACGGGUGAGUAACACGUGGAUCAUCUGCCCUGGAGUGGGGAAUAACGCUGGGAAACCGGCGCUAAUACCGCAUAUUCCCGAGAGGGGAAAGCAGCAAUGCGCUCGAGGAGGAGUCCGCGGCCGAUUAGCUAGUUGGCAGGGUAAAAGCCUACCAAGGCUGUGAUCGGUAGCCGGCCUGAGAGGGCACACGGCCACACUGGCACUGAAACACGGGCCAGACUCCUACGGGAGGCAGCAGUGGGGAAUCUUGCACAAUGGGGGAAACCCUGAUGCAGCGACGCCGCGUGAGCGAUGAAGCCCUUCGGGGUGUAAAGCUCUUUCGGCAGGGAAGAUUAUGACGGUACCUGCAGAAGCAGCUGCGGCUAACUACGUGCCAGCAGCCGCGGUAAUACGUAGGCAGCAAGCGUUGUUCGGAGUUACUGGGCGUAAAGGGUGUGUAGGCGGCCCGCUAAGUUCCGUGUGAAAUCUCCCGGCUCAACCGGGAGGGUGCGCGGAAUACUGACGGGCUAGAGUGCGGGAUGGGAGAGUAGAAUUCCUGGUGUAGCGGUGAAAUGCGUAGAUAUCAGGAGGAAUACCGGUGGUGUAGACGGCUCUCUGGACCGCAACUGACGCUGAGACACGAAAGCGUGGGUAGCAAACAGGAUUAGAUACCCUGGUAGUCCACGCCCUAAACGAUGCAUAUUUGGUGU
This 785-nucleotide ribosomal RNA is filed under the name uncultured soil bacterium. RNAcentral describes it as "bacterial SSU rRNA". It matches the Rfam family "Bacterial small subunit ribosomal RNA", at positions 8 to 823 of the family's 1533-position model. The record is from RNAcentral.